GACGAACGCUGGCGGCAUGCUUAACACAUGCAAGUCGAACGAGACCUUCGGGUCUAGUGGCGCAGGGGGGCGUAACGCGGGGGAACCUGCCCGUAGGUUCGGAAUAACUCCCCGAAAGGGGUGCUAAUACCGGAUAAGGUCUUCGGACCAAAGAUUUAUCGCCGUUGGAUGGGCCCGCGUUGGAUUAGCGAGUUGGUAGGGUAAAAGCCUACCAAGGCGACGAUCCAUAGCUGGUCUGAGAGGAUGAUCAGCCACACUGGGACUGAGACACGGCCCAGACUCCUACGGAAGGCAGCAGUGGGGAAUAUUGGACAAUGGGCGCAAGCCUGAUCAAGCAAUGCCGCGUGAGAGAUGAAGGCGUUAGGGUUGUAAAGCUGUUUUACCCGGGAUGAUAAUGACAGUACCGGGAAAAUAAGCUCCGGCUAACUCCGUG
Molecule: ribosomal RNA, 433 nt
Filed under: uncultured bacterium
Lineage: Bacteria
Description: partial 16S ribosomal RNA
Rfam family: Bacterial small subunit ribosomal RNA
Source: RNAcentral